AACGCUAGCUACAGGCUUAACACAUGCAAGUCGCGGGGCAGCAUUUCCUUAGCUUGCUAAGGAAGAUGGCGACCGGCGCACGGGUGAGUAACGCGUAUCCAACCUUCCCAUGUCCACGGGAUAGCCCGUCGAAAGGCGGAUUAAUACCGUAUGAGGUCACAUGCGGGCAUCUAAGUGUGACGAAAGGUUUUGCGGACAUGGAUGGGGAUGCGUCCGAUUAGCUAGUUGGCGGGGUAACGGCCCACCAAGGCGACGAUCGGUAGGGGUUCUGAGAGGAAGGUCCCCCACAUUGGAACUGAGACACGGUCCAAACUCCUACGGGAGGCAGCAGUGAGGAAUAUUGGUCAAUGGACGCAAGUCUGAACCAGCCAAGUAGCGUGCAGGAUGACGGCCCUAUGGGUUGUAAACUGCUUUUAUGCGAGGAUAAAGUGUGGGACGUGUCCCAUAUUGUAGGUACCGCAUGAAUAAGGACCGGCUAAUUCCGUGCCAGCAGCCGCGGUAAUACGGAAGGUCCGGGCGUUAUCCGGAUUUAUUGGGUUUAAAGGGAGCGUAGGCCGUCGUUUAAGCGUGUUGUGAAAUGCCGCGGCUCAACCGUGGCACUGCAGCGCGAACUGGGGGGCUUGAGUGCACGCAACGCAGGCGGAAUUCGUGGUGUAGCGGUGAAAUGCUUAGAUAUCACGAAGAACUCCGAUUG
Molecule: ribosomal RNA, 694 nt
Filed under: uncultured bacterium
Lineage: Bacteria
Description: bacterial SSU rRNA
Rfam family: Bacterial small subunit ribosomal RNA
Source: RNAcentral